RNAcentral lists this ribosomal RNA (641 nucleotides) under Escherichia coli. RNAcentral describes it as "partial 23S ribosomal RNA". It matches the Rfam family "Bacterial large subunit ribosomal RNA", at positions 1917 to 2557 of the family's 2925-position model. Lineage: Bacteria; Pseudomonadati; Pseudomonadota; Gammaproteobacteria; Enterobacterales; Enterobacteriaceae. The record is from RNAcentral.
GCCCCGGUAAACGGCGGCCGUAACUAUAACGGUCCUAAGGUAGCGAAAUUCCUUGUCGGGUAAGUUCCGACCUGCACGAAUGGCGUAAUGAUGGCCAGGCUGUCUCCACCCGAGACUCAGUGAAAUUGAACUCGCUGUGAAGAUGCAGUGUACCCGCGGCAAGACGGAAAGACCCCGUGAACCUUUACUAUAGCUUGACACUGAACAUUGAGCCUUGAUGUGUAGGAUAGGUGGGAGGCUUUGAAGUGUGGACGCCAGUCUGCAUGGAGCCGACCUUGAAAUACCACCCUUUAAUGUUUGAUGUUCUAACGUUGGCCCGUAAUCCGGGUUGCGGACAGUGUCUGGUGGGUAGUUUGACUGGGGCGGUCUCCUCCUAAAGAGUAACGGAGGAGCACGAAGGUUGGCUAAUCCUGGUCGGACAUCAGGAGGUUAGUGCAAUGGCAUAAGCCAGCUUGACUGCGAGCGUGACGGCGCGAGCAGGUGCGAAAGCAGGUCAUAGUGAUCCGGUGGUUCUGAAUGGAAGGGCCAUCGCUCAACGGAUAAAAGGUACUCCGGGGAUAACAGGCUGAUACCGCCCAAGAGUUCAUAUCGACGGCGGUGUUUGGCACCUCGAUGUCGGCUCAUCACAUCCUGGGGCUGAA